This 444-nucleotide long non-coding RNA is filed under the name Pan troglodytes (chimpanzee). RNAcentral's name for it is "lincRNA". The record is from RNAcentral. Lineage: Eukaryota; Metazoa; Chordata; Mammalia; Primates; Hominidae.
UGGGUAAUCCAAGCCUCGGCAGGUACAGUUCCUCCCUCAGUGGCACCCGAGCUCUGUGAGGGCAAGACUUUGUUUGGUUGUGGGCUAUGCCCCCAACCCCUCGGACAGUGCCUGCACAGGUGGACAUUUUUGUUGGAUGAAGGAUUUUCUGUUAAAUGUGUCUGGCACACACAGAAAAACAAAGCCCAGCAGAUGCCGUUCCAUUGUUUGCUGACUUGCAUUGAUUCUAUGAGAAGUCUGCAGUCUUUUGCAGCAUUGUUUUCCUAUGUAUAAUUGUCUCCUCCCACCCCACUCACCCCAGCUGCUUUCCACAUUCUCUCUCUUUGAUUUUCAGCAGUCUGCCCAUGAUGUGCCUAAAUAGGACUUUCUUUGCAUUCAUCUUGGCUGGGGCUCACUGAACUUUCUGAAUCUGUAGAUUAAUUUUCUUUUUUCAAUAAACCUUGG